RNAcentral lists this ribosomal RNA (497 nucleotides) under uncultured bacterium. Its description in RNAcentral is "partial 16S ribosomal RNA". It matches the Rfam family "Bacterial small subunit ribosomal RNA", at positions 28 to 507 of the family's 1533-position model. The record is from RNAcentral.
GAUGAACGCUGGCGGCGUGCCUAAUACAUGCAAGUCGAGCGAACAGACGAGGAGCUUGCUCCUCUGACGUUAGCGGCGGACGGGUGAGUAACACGUGGAUAACCUACCUAUAAGACUGGGAUAACUUCGGGAAACCGGAGCUAAUACCGGAUAAUAUAUUGAACCGCAUGGUUCAAUAGUGAAAGACGGUUUUGCUGUCACUUAUAGAUGGAUCCGCGCCGCAUUAGCUAGUUGGUAAGGUAACGGCUUACCAAGGCGACGAUGCGUAGCCGACCUGAGAGGGUGAUCGGCCACACUGGAACUGAGCCACGGUCCAGACUCCUACGGGAGGCACCGGUAGGGAAUCUUCCGCAAUGGGCGAAAGCCUGACGGAGCAACGCCGCGUGAGUGAUGAAGGUCUUCGGAUCGUAAAACUCUGUUAUUAGGGAAGAACAAAUGUGUAAGUAACUAUGCACGUCUUGACGGUACCUAAUCAGAAAGCCACGGCUAACUACGUG